CAGUCGCCGCGGUAAUACGAAGGGUGCAAGCGUUACUCGGAAUUACUGGGCGUAAAGCGUGCGUAGGUGGUGGUUUAAGUCCGUUGUGAAAGCCCUGGGCUCAACCUGGGAAUUGCAGCGGAUACUGGGUCACUAGAGUGUGGUAGAGGAUAGUGGAAUUUCCGGUGUAGCAGUGAAAUGCGUAGAGAUCGGAAGGAACAUCUGUGGCGAAGGCGACUAUCUGGGCCAACACUGACACUGAGGCACGAAAGCGUGGGGAGCAAACAGGAUUAGAUACCCGGGUAGUCCCUGUCUCUUAUAC
Molecule: ribosomal RNA, 301 nt
Filed under: uncultured bacterium
Lineage: Bacteria
Description: partial 16S ribosomal RNA
Rfam family: Bacterial small subunit ribosomal RNA
Source: RNAcentral